UGGUAGACACCUUCAUUCAUUCUUCUAAGAAGGCUGUUGAUCUGGUCCUCCCCAUUGUCAGCAUUUCCACCUUCUACAAAAUGGGUGGUCUUUUUCUUCAUUCCACCUUCUGGAUAGGAUAGUUUGGAGGGCCACAGGAAGUUAUUUGCUUAUUUGAAGCAUUUUCCAACAGUGUAGAUCUCAUGAAUCAGAUCCUCCAUGCAGAUGAUACCGUAUUUACCAAGAGAUUGAGCAGUCAAAGCGUUAUCUGUCAAAGCAAUUCGCUUCUUAUUGAUUUUGCCAUAACCACACUUAUAGAUUAGUUCAUUUACCGACUUCAGAUUUGGGUACCCACAUGCAAUAUAUGGUUCUACAAUCCACAGCAUGUUAAUUGAAGACUUGUUGAGCUUCACAAAGGUUCCACUGAAGAUUUGACGAAGGUAAAGAAGCUACAACACCUUUCAGACCUUUGGGCUCACACCAUUGAUACCUCUGAUUCUGAUGGCAAACGCCAGUUCUGCAGAGAACAGCGGAAGUCCCUGCCUCACCUGCUGACAGUGUCCAGGACUGGGAUGCCUCUGGUGUCCAGGUUUACAACCACUUCUUUAUCUUGUGAUCUUUCGAAAAGGAGGAAGAUUACUACGUCCAGAUUAUCGACUUGGAAGGCAUUCAGAGUCCUGGGGUUUAGAGGGCCAGUUUGGCAUGGGAUAUGUGGUAGUGGCCUGAGGCCUUGGGGCUGAAAGAGCCCAGGGUCUGAAAUCAUCAGAACUCUCUCCAGAUGAAUUGAAUCUGAGCUGGAAAGCAGCCUGUGACUCAUCGCGGGUAAGAAGCCGCAGUCUUGUUUAUAUGAUUGUAACCCCCGGCCAAGUGAAAGCAGAAUGACCCCUGUCACUUCUUUGGGGUCACACAGCUACUCAGGAGGGUGAGAGGAAAUGAUGUCUAUGAAGCACCUGCUAUGGGACAGGCAUUUUAUCUAAACCUGUCCCAUUUAAACCUGACAAUACACAGUGAGGGAGGUGUGAGUACCGUCCCUGUUUUGUAGAUGUGGCUCAAGGAAGAUAAAUGACACAUCUUAGGGGAGAGGUCUCUUGUCGUCACUCUCCCUAGACCAGAGAGAAUGAAUAAUCCCUUGGCACCCUCCUUUGUCAGCCCUCCUGCCUUAAAAAGUGUGUGUUAUUGAAGGGAAGGUGUCACGUCCACUCUGCUGUGUGUCUUUAGGAAAAUCCCCUUUCUUCUCUGGUCUAUUUCUGCUUCUGUAAAAUAAUGUCUUUGGUAUGAGGUCUCUUUGUGCUCAAGGAUUCUAUGUUUCAUGCCCACUUCUUACUGCUCACAUUCAUUUGCCCUAGCUCCAGAAUAGGCCAUAUCGUUUCCUGGAAAGUUCUGUCCAUUCCCAUGCUCCCAUGGACAACUGAGAGUGAGGAGGGAAGGUGAUUGGGAUAAGACCUUGAUAUCAUAGGAAAAAUGGUGAAUGACUUUGAAAUGGAUCGAAAAGAUGACUGGGUGUCUUCCUCAGAAAACGAGGUGUUUCUAUGAGGCCUCUGGGCCUUUUGUUGCCUUUGAACUGUUUCAGAACUGUAAGUUGUAGAUGACUGAGAGUGAUGCAAAUGGUUCUUGUCCAUAGAUAUGCAAAUACGUUUUCUGGUGGUAAUACAAUUGUCU
Long non-coding RNA from Macaca fascicularis (crab-eating macaque), 1638 nucleotides. Lineage: Eukaryota; Metazoa; Chordata; Mammalia; Primates; Cercopithecidae. The record is from Ensembl.